GGGUCAGUAGGUUGGUCGUGCCACCGGUACGUACUGGUAUCACCGAUUCCUCCUUCCUGAAGAACCGUAAUGCCGUUAAUUUGGUGUUGCGGGGAAACAGGACUGUUACUUUGAAAAAAUUAGAGUGUUUAAAGCAAGCUAACGCUUGAAUACAUUAGCAUGGAAUAAUGAAAUAGGACGAUCGAUCCUAUUUUGUUGGUUUCUAGGAUUGACGUA
This 216-nucleotide ribosomal RNA is filed under the name Glomeromycotina sp. Its description in RNAcentral is "partial small subunit ribosomal RNA". The stretch from base 38 to 216 matches the Rfam family "Eukaryotic small subunit ribosomal RNA", at positions 684 to 864 of the family's 1831-position model. Lineage: Eukaryota; Fungi; Glomeromycota. The record is from RNAcentral.